GAUGAACGCUGGCGGCGUGCCUAAUACAUGCCAGUCGAGCGAACGGACGAGAAGCUUGCUUCUCUGAUGUUAGCGGCGGACGGGUGAGUAACACGUGGAUAACCUACCUAUAAGACUGGGAUAACUUCGGGAAACCGGAGCUAAUACCGGAUAAUAUUUUGAACCGCAUGGUUCAAAAGUGAAAGACGGUCUUGCUGUCACCUAUAGAUGGAUCCGCGCUGCAUUAGCUAGUUGGUAAGGUAACGGCUUACCAAGGCAACGAUGCAUAGCCGACCUGAGAGGGGGAUCGGCCACACUGGAACUGAGACACGGUCCAGACCCCUACGGGAGGCAGCAGGAGGGAAUCUUCCGAAAGGGGCGAAAGCCUGAGGGAGCAACGCCGGGUGAGUGAUGAAGGUCUUCGGAUCGUAAAACUCUUUUUUUAGGGAAGAACAUAUGUGUAAGUAACUGUGCACAUCUUGACGGUACCUAAUCAAAAAGCCACGGCUAACUACGU
RNAcentral lists this ribosomal RNA (496 nucleotides) under uncultured bacterium. Its description in RNAcentral is "partial 16S ribosomal RNA". It matches the Rfam family "Bacterial small subunit ribosomal RNA", at positions 28 to 506 of the family's 1533-position model. The record is from RNAcentral.